UACGUAGGGGGCGAGCGUUGUCCGAAUUCACUGGGCGUAAAGCGCGCGUAGGCGGGUUUUUAAGUUGUGGGUGAAAUCCCGGGGCUCAACCCCGGAACUGCCUGCAAAACUGGGAGCCUUGAGGUAUGGAGAGGGAAGUGGAAUUCCAGGUGUAGCGGUGAAAUGCGUAGAUAUCUGGAGGAACACCCGUGGCGAAGGCGGCUUCCUGGCCAUAUCCUGACGCUGAGGUGCGAAAGCUAGGGGAG
This 245-nucleotide ribosomal RNA is filed under the name uncultured bacterium. RNAcentral's name for it is "partial 16S ribosomal RNA". It matches the Rfam family "Bacterial small subunit ribosomal RNA", at positions 524 to 768 of the family's 1533-position model. The record is from RNAcentral.